CAUUAUUAUUGUAAUACGUGAUCACUCUAUCACUCGCGUAGUGAAACUCGAACAAGUAACAUCGCGCGCCGCACUUCGUAUACGUUUCCGUAUUAUACAUCUCUCGCACGUAAUUAUUUCUCACAGUAUAUACUUAAUCUUCGAGAUGCGUAAUCGACAAGUACUACGAGGUGAAAAAAUACGAUUAUUAGCACAUAUUUUUCUAGUUCGAAAAUAUCAUUUUCCAAUGAUUAUUUGUUGGAUUGAAAAAUAUGACACGGAUGAAUAAUUGCUUACGCAAUUGAUUAUAUUAUAAACAAUGAACGCGCGCGCGACAAAUGUGGUGGCGAUGACAAAUUGAUUCAAGUAACAAAAAGACACGAUACAUCGAUCGUUUAUUAAUAAUACGUAUGUUUUCGUAUCGUGAAUUAUUAAUGAUAAUCCAUCUGUGCGCGUUUGAUUAAAUCGCAGAUUCGUGCGAUCGCGAGUUUCGCAUUGUUCUAUUCACGUCGCAAUAUAAUAAAGUGCGUGCCGCGUGUGAUUAAAGCGUCGCGAUUACUGUGCAAAGCGAUCGUCGUAUUUUCGUUGAUAAAUAAUGCACGCGCGAUCGUAAUUAAUUGUGCUUUCGCAAGUGAGUGCUAUAAAGAGGCAGCAAAGAGUGAACAAAGGAGAGGAGGAGGAGGUCCAGGGUGGCAUCUGGCAACGGCGGAACAAUCGUGAGAUCAACGUUGCGUGCUACAAUUCCGCCGCUGCGCGUCGUAUCGGUUUGCCUUUGACUCCCACGCUGAAAAUGCAGAAAAAUUAAUGCGACUCGAUGCAUUCGCGUUGAGAAAGUUCACGACGACGUUAUAGUCUUCGCGGCUUCGUGACAACGCGUCGAGUUGCGAAAUAAAGAAAUACUGUUGGAGGGUAUAAGCACGAUCGAGAAAGACUUCACGACAACAUAAAGAGAACUGCGAAAUAUAAGCGGAACUAUUUCCUUAAUUAUGCGACGAGACCAUCAGUGACAAACUCGCGACGCUUGAAACUACCGCGAAAUAAGCCAUCUGUGUCGCGAAAAAUUCAUAAAAUUGUUUUUCGAGUGGAAAAACGUGGAUUCUGUGUGAGAACGUGUUAUAAAAUUGGAUGAAAUUUUAAUUUAUCCGUUUUAAUAAACUGAAAUAAUUAAUUACGAAGAGGUUUAUAGACAUAGCGCCGAUCAAUUUAUUAUUUGUGUUAUUUUUUUAAAUAUUUUUUAUUGAAGAAUAUUAUUUAUCUAAGCAAUAAAAUAUUUUGUACCUCCCAGUUUUUGUUAAUAAAAAUUGAAUUAUUAAAUAAAAUUUUAAUUUAUUCGUUUUAAUAACCUGAAAUAAUUAAUUACGGAGAGGUUUAUAGACAUAGCGCCGAUCAAUUUAUUAUUUGUGUUGUUUUUUUAAAUCUUUUUUAUCGAAGAAUAUUAUUUAUUUGAGCAAUAAAAUAUUUUGUACCUUCCAGUUUUUGUUAAUAAAAAUUGAAUUAUUAAAUAAAAUUUUAAUUUAUUCGUUUUAAUAAACUGAAAUAAUUAAUUACGAAGAAAUUUAUAGACAUAGCGCCGAUCAAUUUAUUAUUUGUUAUUUUUUUAAAUCUUUUUUAUUGAAGAAUAUUAUUUAUCUAAGCAAUAAAAUAUUUUGUACCUCCCAAUUUUUGUUAAUGAAAAUUGAAUUAAACAAUCUAAUAAUUCAUCGUAGCUAAAUUUAAUAAAAUCGUUAUGUAAUGUAAUCGUACAUGUAAUGAAAUCGUACAUGUAAUGAUUCGAUUAUCACAAAUUGUUCAGAUACGAAAGAAUGCUUCUAUCGACUUUCUCUAUACAUAUACAAAUCAAAUUUAUUUGACUAUUGCUUUUAUCUGCACGUUGUAAAUUCCACAAUACAUUGCGCUGAAAUACUGUAACGUGACGUUUGCAGUUUUCUACAAACGUUACAGUAUUUAUAUAUACAAAACUUUAUUACGUAUUUUUUUUUACUACAUAUUUUCUACGUAUAAAAUUGAUCGAUAUAAACAUGCGACAGAGAGCACAUUUCAAACAAUUUUCAAAAUACUCUCAAAUUCAUAUGAAAUUUUGUCAUGUUAACAUUAUAAGAUUAGCUUGAAAGUGAUUGAACAUUUACUUAUUUACAGCAUGAUUGAUCAAAUUUGUUUUAUAAAUUCUCUUUAAUUAAUUUUCAAUAAUCCUUAACUUCGCUAUCGACUCUUUCUCUUAAUUUUCCUGAGAAAGAGAUUGACCUGAAAGAAACAUUUACCACUACUUACAUUUCGAUAUAAACACACGCAUGUAAUAUGUCACGUAUCCUCAAAAAAUCUUCAUAAAUAAAUUUUUACUAAUUGUAAAAUGUAAAAUAUGAUAGUGAUAAAAAUGUGUCAGACGCCGCAAUCGGCCAUACAUAGAGAAUCGUCUCUCCGUCUCUCUCUCUCUCUCUCUCUCUCUCUCUCUCUCUCUCUCUCUCUCUCUCUCUCUCAUUCAUCUCAACAUCCGAGGAGUACGAAGAAACCACCAUUAGAAAGCCAUCCUCGUUGAUACACGGAUCCCUUUAAAAAGGUCCCUU
Long non-coding RNA from Formica exsecta, 2540 nucleotides. RefSeq lists it as uncharacterized. NCBI's taxonomy places the organism in Eukaryota, Metazoa, Arthropoda, Insecta, Hymenoptera, Formicidae. The record is from RefSeq and is a predicted model, not a curated record. The transcript has 4 exons.